UUCCUGAUGCACAGCAAAGCUCGUCUGCGAUCAAACUUAUCUGUGCAUAGAAGGUGUGAAGUCGCAGCAGGACAUGUGCUGUUUGUCGGGCCACUUGUGAGGAAGCAGUUAGGAAAAGGAGAUGUGGAGAAAAACAAACAGACGACACGACUUAAUUAGUGAAGCUGUGGUUUAACCAUGAAACCGACCACCCCUAACUAACUGGUUGUGGAUUAUAUUGAUCUAAAAUUUAAAAAAUGAUAGUUAGAAUUUUGAUUCUUUUUAUUUAUUUAUUUUAUUUGGACACAGACGGACUGAUCCACAACGGAUGCUAUGGUUUGUUUUGCUGGUGCAAUGCUGUAAGCUGAAUUACAGAACUUUUAUUUUGAUAACUGGGGUCUGAAGAUUGUGUCGGUUGUUUAACAGACACUGAAAUAGUUGACAUGUAAUGCAUGAGAAGUCAUUUGUGUCUUUGAUGUGACUGGUUUGUAAGUUUAAGAGAGGGUUGAGGUAGAAAUUAUAGAAAUUCUGCAGUUUGAUUGGUCUCAAGAUUUCAGUCUGAAAUAACUGUUCUACCUGGUUGAAUUUCUGGAGGUUUGCUCCACUUGUCUUUGUGAAUUUUUAGAAGCAUUUAAUACAAUAUGGCUUUUUGUUGUUUUUUAGCAUUUAGGGCAUUUUUAUCAUAUAAAGAGUGAUUUAAUUUUCUCUCUAUAGUAGUGACGGUGUCAUGGUGGAGGAAGUACCUUCACUGACAAGCUGAGAAAACCCAUGAUGUUAGGAUGAUGGUGGAAUACUGCCUCCUUCAGGCGGUAGUAAAAACUACUGAAGAAAUAACUCCAGUGUACAGAUGAAUAAAGUCCUUGAUUAUAAAUCACAAUUGGUUAAAUAUCUAAUAAUAAAACAAAACAAGGAUCCAGUGAAAACCUUAAAAACCACAAUCAUCAAAGAAGACAUUUGACCAAGGCUUUUUUAGUCAUUUUUUUUAUUGAUAAUUACCCUUAGUGAAAUUAGAAUUGUGUCUAUUUUGAGUUAUUGAUCAUCCUUUGUUACCUUUGAACAUUCAGUAAACCCGUCACCAAAUCAUACACUUUGUAUUACAACAAAUCAAGAAGUGAGAAAAAUGAUU
Long non-coding RNA from Hippoglossus stenolepis (Pacific halibut), 1105 nucleotides. RefSeq lists it as uncharacterized. The transcript is spliced from 2 exons. Lineage: Eukaryota; Metazoa; Chordata; Actinopteri; Pleuronectiformes; Pleuronectidae. The record is from RefSeq and is a predicted model, not a curated record.